AAGGGCUCCCACCAAACCCCCCUUUCCCAACCCACUUUUCAAAAUUCCCUGCUGCAUGUGGAUCACGCUUUCGUUCCCACAUGCACAAAUAACAGUCACAACCUGCAAGUAUACAAAUUGAGUUUCCCUUUCCAUCUGCACAAUUCGAGUACUCAAAAAUCAACGUUUAAGGUGUUUGUGUUUUUAAAGAAAUGGUAAUUAGUGACUAGCUCUGUGAGGAAUAUGAUCGAGCAGGUGGUGAUCUACCAUAUUCUGAUCUUGUUCCCCCACAAGUGCUGGUUACUUUAAAUUAACUUCUUACCCUAGAUCCUUAUAUGUUGAAGAACAUAAAAAGUCCACAUCGAACACUUGACGGAGUGGUUUUACUUGUAAUUGCAUUGAAGUCUUUUUCUUUUGUUGAUAAAAUUACCUCACACAUGCUGACGUACGUAGCAGAUGAUUAAAUUAAAGACAACGUUAACGCUUGAUUCAUUAGUAGUGGAUCGAUGAACUCUCUCUUUAAAAGUUUGACAUUCAGCAUGUGGCAAUCUUCCAUGUUUAGAUCUUGUUCCCUACGGGUGCUGCUUACUUUAAUUAAGUUCUUACACCGAGUCCUAGACUCUAUUUUCAUUAGAAUCAUCAUCACAUACACUUUUCUCAUCCAUUUGGGAUCCACAUGUAUUUAGUAGCAAUGUAACAUUAAAAUACCAAUUAAGCAGGAAUCGUAGCUGGGUUUUAAUGGGUUAUCUACCCAGCUAGUGCAAGAGAUCCUCAUAUCACAUGUCAAAAUAACUACCAAGUGAAGAAUUAGUGAAAUUAUGUAUGUUUUUCUUUACCUAAAUAUGUCACUUAUAUAUGCUUUCCUAUAUGCAUAUGUAUCGGAAUUUUAUUUUUCUCAUGUAAUUCAGAAUAUUUUGAAUGCCGUUAAACCAAAUGGUAAGGUGCUUAUGUGUAAAUAAAGAGCCACUAGCUAGAGUACUUUUUUUUACAAAACUGACUUAAUAAGAAAUUCUAGAGUACAUGCAUACAGUGCUAAUGUUGAAUUUAACAAUCAGAUGUCCGUUGAAUUUAAAAGGCAAUGUAGACGGAAUAUUAAUGUAUAGUACAACGACUCCAAUUUUAUUUACCACAUUUAACAACGGUAUAACAUUCUCACUCCACUUAAGUACCACGCGGAUAUUAAUUAGAGUUAAUAUUCUAUGAUAUUAUAAUUGUACGUGUUUGGAAGUAUUUUUUAAAACAACUAAAAGUGCUUUUUAUUCACCAAAAGCGCUUCUAAUAGCAUUUGGUAAAAAAGUUAAAGGUGCUUUGAAGUUCUUUCUAAAGAGGAAGAGUUGUUGUGUACUUUCUUCAAGAAGUACUUGUAUUUUUUGUAAAAAUUUUGAUGUACUCCAAAUAUAUAGAAACCGCUCCUAAGUAUAAAUACUUUUUAAAGAAGUAUUUCCAAAUGGGUCAUCUAAAUAAAUAAUCGUAUAAUAUGUGACACACUUUGGGUGGAAUGAUAAUGCUAGAUCACGACUAAAAGUGAUAAGUACAGGUAUUUCCAAAUAGGCCCUCUAAAUAAAUUAUCGUAUAAAUGCAUGGGCCUUCUGCUUAAUUGAACGUAUCAAUUUGGAUUGACAUACCCCAAUCCGGAAUGUUCACCUGGAUUCCAAAUCGAGCUGUGUUGGUCGACACCGGAAGGUGACGAAGCCAUAAUGUGCACAUGUGAGCGGAAAUGAACCAAUUUCACACGUGAUGUCAGAACAUAAGUAAAGUACAAUAAGGUAGGAUAAGGUUUAUACCGUUGAGAGUAUUUCCAUAACAAUGUUUUGCCAAAAUGUCCUCGCCGCGAAAACUUUGGUACUAAAAUCUGGAGGGGUGAAAAACAAGGAUGAGUGGUUCUAAAAAUAAAGCUUUGUAAAACCUUUUCGAAAAUGUAUAACCCCUCGCCGUAAAACAAGUAUAGUUUCCAAAUAUAUAUACUACGUAUAGUAAGAAAAUACUUACUAUAGCCUGCAAUAUCUCAAGAAUCCAAUACGUCACAAUAUUUUGUAAAUAAACAUCUAAUGUCCGGUAAUCACAUAAUCUCGCAUCAACAACAUAUCAUAUCGAGUGCUCAUUCGACAUAUGCUGACACACGAGUUCAUGAAGAGAUAUUCUAACAUGAACAGGACUUGGUGUAAUAAUGAUAUACCCUCUAGUACUACAAUCACGUGAAGACUGGCGCUAUCCACAUCACAUAAAAGUCCUAAUUGCCUGUAACAAUAUAGGAUAGGACUAGCACCUACAAUGUAUAUGGUGCGAUGUGAACAUACACGUUAAAGAUUGGCCCUAGCCCGACUGAGUACUAACACCGGUGCAGCAACGAUGAGUAGAUAACGUAAAUAAAAUCAUACAUUGGUAAAUCAAUAAUUUACGUCGACAUAAUACUAUUCACUACCGUAAAUAUAAAUAAGGUAUCUCGUAAUAAUAUGCAUACAUGUGCAUCCCGUGGGAUUCAUAAUAAUAUCACAAUUUUCAGCAUUGCGACAAUUCUAAUAACGUCAAUUUAAUUAUGGCAUCACUUUAAUGGCUAAUUAGCCUUAUUUAUACUACUACAUAAUAAAAUCUUGCCUAGAAAAUGCCUUCUAAAAAAAACUAAGAAACAUAAUAGGUUAAGAGAAACUAGGUGACAAUUUCCUGGUCAAACAUGGAGAAAUCUGCCUAACCACAAAAUAUCCACGUUCUGGGUCUUAGACACCUCCAUAACCAGCCCAAGAUGACUCUUUUUAAAGCUUAAAUGACCUGAACAUAUUUCUAGAAGGGCUUAUUGUCAAAAGUCACCAUCUUGGAUGCCCAAAAAAAAAGGUCACUCUAACAGCACUGCGAGCAGCUUCUUUUAUUUUAUCGUCAUAAAUUAACCGCUUGGUAGAAAAAUCUAAAACUUUGACACUAACAAGCUGAGAGACUUACGAACAUUCUUCAAUUGGAGUCACUCCAAAAUUUAUUCGUUUGAUCACUUUUGUUGAAGAAGAAGUCGAAUGUCUUACAUUGAAAAUAUAAAUUAAAGUAUCAAAAUCUCACCAAAAUAAAUACCACAUACUAAGAAUAAGGUUAAUAUAUAGUAUAAUAUCGACUCGUCACGGUUACAUUAUAAAAAUCCUUGUAAAUAUCCUGUAAAGAGAAACAUAUUCUCAAUGAAGGGUGGUCUUAAAGAUUCAUAUACCAUACAUAACCGAUGGGUGAUACUAAAGUUAGAAACUUUUGAUUAAGGGUAGUGCUAUGCACACGCUCAUUUUUACUUCUCACACACUCUUCUUAAUGUUUGACCAUCAAAUCGAAUGAACUGAAGAAGAUCAAUGACAAAAAAUUAACAAGAGUGUGUAGGAGAUAAAGAUGAGUGUGUGAAUAACACUGUUUUGGAUUAAACACCUUGGCUUUUUUUUUUUUUUUUUUUUUUUGAAAAAAAUAAUAGUUGGCUUAUUUUAUAUUUGUUUGGAUUAGGUAAAAAGUUUAUUAGCUAGGCUGCAAAUCUUUGACAAAUAAACAAAGGGCCACAAAUCAAGUUGUUCGGGUGCUAAAUUACUAAUGGGUAUUUGGCAGAUCAUAGUGCUAUGUUAAUCAACCGAUUACAUAUAUAUAGAUACCACAUAAUUAAACAUGAAUAGAUAGGGAAGGAGAGCUAUGGCCUUUAGCUAUAGACAGGGGCCAUAUAGGCCAUAUGCCAUAUGUAAUGUAAUGAAGAGGAAAGCGACUCAACAGCCUGAGAGAGACCGAGAGCCCAACGGUUUCUCAGAAAAGGCAGGCUGAGGGUGGGAAAGAGAGACAUAAGGAGGGGCAUGAAUGGAUAGUAUUAUUAUCAGUAGCUAGCUAGUAUAUAUAGACCAUUAGAGUGGGGUUAAAAAUAAACAUGCUCUGUAGGAGGAGAAAGGGAAAGAGAUGAAAGAAAAGGAAUGGUGGUUCUGAUCAGCACAGCAAUAUUAUGCUUCUGCUUUCUGCUUUUUCUUCCUUCUGCUUCUGCUGGUGCUUGAAAGUUGAUGCUUGUUAAUCUCCUUAGUAUAUAAUCUUGUGCUGUUUUAGGGUUGUAGCUGUGGUGCCGGCAAGUGAUGAAUGCAGCCCCCACGAUACUACUGCUUUUUACACAUUUCUAAAGGAAUUAUUUGGGUAAUCUCGCCUUUCCCAUUCACUUGAGGCUCUUUGGUUGAUUCUCGAUCGGUUGUGUCCCCCUUGCCUUAUAUCAUGGUCCCACUUUACCCACAUAUGGUGUCUCGCAUUAACCUAUAUAUACCUAUAUAUAUUAUGUGUUAUUUGAUUAUUUACAAUGUUAAUACAGCUAGCUAGCAUCCUCCUCCUACAUAUAAUAGCAUCCUCUAUAUAGACCUAGCGUCCUUUGUGUGCGUGUCUAUAUAUAUAUACCGUUAAAUUGGUUUUAAUGAAAUUGUGUGGUUAAGAUUAAAACACAGGCCACACAAUCUCAACCAUACAAUUUCAUUAAAGUUAAAUCCAAUGAUGGGGAGCGUGUCCUCAUUUAAAAAAAAAAAAUGAGGAUCCCUCCGUGUGUAUAUAUAUAUAUAUAUAUAUAUAGACCUACUUGAUUGACUCGUGGGCUUGCCAUUGUCAUCAUAGUCAUAUGGAAUAUAGAAGUGCAUGCUGCUUUCUAUAUAGUUUGUGGCAGGUAAAUUAAGGAUCAAUUUGAUAAUCAUUUCGUUUUUAUUUUUUUAUUUUUACUUUUUAUAAGACUGAGAACUAAAAUCUUGUUUAGUAACUUUUAAGUUUUGAACUCAAAGCCAAAUUUUGAAAACUCAUGGAAGUAGUUUUUAUGAUUGGUUUUUAGUUUUCAGUUUCAAAACUAAAAGUGGUUAGCAAACAAAGUUUCAGUUUUCAAAAUAUAGGACAAUUAGUUAUGGUUUUGGAAUUUGGCAAGGUGCAUGGCAGUAUAUGUCUGUGAGGAGAUGGAGGAAGAGGAUGAGAGGAGAGGAGGAGGGUGGGGGACAAAAUGCCAGCACCAGAAUAAUGAUGGUGUGGAAGGUAAUAGCCAACUGUAUGUAUGUAAGGUAGUCAGAGUGUUUUGCGAUUCUGGUUCGGUUAGAGAGAGAGAGAGAGAGAGAGAGAGAGAGAGAGAGAGAGAGAGCUUGUUGCACGCAUGUGGUCCUAAAAACCCUAGGGCUUAGCUCAUGGCCCUUGAUCGAGCUAGCUAGCUGUAGCUAUCGGUAGAUGAUCCAUGACAGAAAAGUUGUAUACAUAUACACAGUAGUACUUUGCCCUAAUUAUCAUAUAAUAAGAAAAGUCCAAAAGAUAUAGUGAAAGAAGGGAGAGAAAGCAGCAAGGAGUAGCAUGCCUACCGCAGGAUGUGCACUCAUAAAUGAAUAAACUAAAAAAAGAAGAGAGAGAGAGGUCCCGACCCAUUAGGAUUAGGGCUUCUGGGGUGGGAGGGGGGGGGGGGGGGCGGCAGUGAGUGAGCGAGCGAUGACGAUGCACCAUCCCCCACCCUCUGUCUCUGGAGCUUAAUUUAAUUUGAUGUAUACCGGUGACAAUUCAUCGGAAAUUCUCGGUAAAAGUUGCUUACCAACUGUUUCGGUGCAAAUAUAUAUACGACAGAAAUCAAAAGAGGUGUAGAAGCUAAAAAGAAUGUCUAAAAAGCACCUCCAUUUGAACCAGGAUCAAGGGCACAAGAGUUAAAAUGUAUUUAACUAAUUGAGCUACAAAUUUUUUACAACAAUAUUUCUUAAUUAUUUAAUAUGCUUGUAUCACUUAGAACUACACUCUCGUACUAUUCCUCUCAAUUUGUAAAUGAGAGUUUUUAGAUUUGAUUCACAUAAAUGACAAUUUCAAUAUCAAAUUAUUAUACCUCACCCCAUUCUAUAUGGUUUAAUGCAAGUGUCUUAUCCUUUAAUAUAAUUCAGCAUUACAUUCAAAACAUGCGUGUAUCGGGACUUUGUAUUCACCUUUUCUUAUUGAAAAAGAUAGAUUUUUAUCCCAAAAUAUUCAACUCAAACACGAUGAUGAGAAACCUUUUAAUGUAACAGACAUGUGUAUUAAACUUCACGUGUUAUAAUAUAAUACGGGUAGACGAUAUAAUUGAUAUGUAAUAGAUCUAGACUAUAAUAUUUGUAGAUUGAUACACAUAUAUAUUACUAGAUAAAUGAAUUUAUAACACCACAUGAUAGUGUGACAUAUGCCUUAAAAAUGAGAAAUGCUAAGGAAACUCUCUUAAAGGUGGGACUUUCUAUGAACUCUCUGUCACCUCAUGUUUUUGGCACAAUAUUUUAUAUUGUUGACAUAUAAAUUAUGCCAAAAACAUAAAAUAGUGAAGAGUCCAUGAAAAAUUUCGCUUUAACAUUCUUCUUAGCAUGAAUGAUUAGUGUGCAAUUACUUCAACCCAAACAAUGGUUGAACAAAUUAACAUAGGCAUGCAUAAAAAUUCUAAGAAGUGGGGCUGGUGAUUAUAAAUGAGAGUAGGAAGUGAAAGAAGAAAUUUGGAAAACCGAUUUCAAGACCAAAAAAGUUAAUAUAAAUGUGGCACCCCUAAAAUUUUGUCCAAGCCCUAACGUUGAAGAUAAUACUGGACCACAAUAAUCAAAUAUGGGCUCGUACAUUCACAAAUAAUAUACCAAAAUAUUAUCUUCCCAAUGGACAAAUAUUUUUUUUUUAGUAUAUCGAUAUUUUACAGUAAGAAGAGGAGGAGUUCAACAAAAUCACACAAUGAAGCAACCUAAUUUGGUAUCGAAUUCACCAUCUAUGAGAUUCAAACGUAAGACCUCUCACUUUCAAGUGAAGAGGAAUACCACCAGACUGUAGUACUGAGUGACCAAUGUACAAAUAUUAUUCGAAGCAAUACAUUUUCUUUGUCAUGGUGUACAGUAUAUCAUAUAUAUAUAUAUAUAUAGAUAUAUAUAUCUAUAUAUCUAUAUAUCUAUAUAUAUCUAUAUAUAUCUAUAGAUAUAUAUAUAUAGGAAAUCUUUUAAGGGAAGGGAUCUUUAUUUGUUUUUGUAAAAAUGGAGAUUAGUUAUGGGGUUCACAUUACAUUGAACUUUAACGAUCUGAACCGUUUCUUUUUCAAGUUGCACCUCAUAAAUCAUCCUUGCAAAUGGUUUCAGAUUGAAUUGAAUUUUUGCAAGGAUGAUCUAUGAAUUGAGACUUACAAAAUAGACAAACUGACAUGCCCAAUCCUGAUAUUCCCCGAACAUCAAGGUAGGCACAUGCUGGCCGACACCCGAAUGUGAUGAAGCCAUAUUAGAAUGCAAGAGAACAAGAAAUAAAUAAGACUUAUAAAUUUAAAUUUAAUAAAUAUGCAUUUAAGGAACGUGUUCAAAGUAUACAACUAAUCUAGAACACUAAAAAAAAUAAUAUAAAAUUGAAUGAAUAAAGGAGUGAGUCCUACACCUUGAGGACUCAAAGAUGCCGAUGCGGAAGUGUCUUGACGCCGGGAUCGUAUGCCUCGAUUUUAAGUCCUGAGGGGGCACAAAACAAACAUGAGUGGACCAAGUUGAUAUAUAUAUAUAUAUAUAUAUAUAUAAUACUGAAAUAGUUAUCAACAUACUAACCCCCAAAGUUUAAUGAAAACUCAAUAGCAUAAUAUGUAGUAGGUUUUCCGAAAACACUAUCAUGCCAUAAAACCUUUCAUGAAACAUAUCUCAUAUAUAAUGUGCUAGCUAGUGAUAUCAAUAUUAGUAUCUCUCGGCCCAAAGCCAUCAAUGUAUACCUCUUACCAGCCAUAUAUCUCCCUCAACCAUAUAUCUCCCUCAGCUAGAUAUCUCUCUCACCCGUAGGCAGAACCAUGACCACUAGAUAUGCACAAAACCACUGAACAUAGAUUUUCCAAACACAGGUAUAUAUAUAUAUCUCAAAAAACAUCUUCAUAGUAUAAAGUCAUCCAUCAUCUAUACUACAAAGAACAUGAGUUCGAUAAAAUAUGGUAAUUGAAAAUAUUCUCAAUAAGCAUAAUAUCUCAUAAAACGUUUCAUAAAACGUACUCAUUAAAUCAUGCUUUUCAUGUAUGCAUUUCUACUAUUAAAGCAUGCAUUUUAGAAAGGGUCCACUCACAGAUACUCCGUCGUCAAAGAGCCGUGCGAAAUAGGAAGAACAUAAUCGUCGCUAAUAAUCGCACCUGAGCACAUAAAGGGUCCAAUUAAUAAAACUCUAUUCAAACAAAUGAACUUAGGAAAACGGACGUCAAAAAUGGAUUCAGGAUGUCAAAUUACCCUAAGAAGGGUUCCGGGUAAAUUUUAAAAAAGUCAACAAAAAGUCUACAUGAGAAUAUUCCAGGAAUAUUCCCUAACAAAAUAUUCCAUUUGGGUUGGGCUGGUCCAGCCGAUUCUGGGCCUAGACUUUGGGUUGGUUCCUCAAUUAGGUUUUGGGUUUUGUAAGGGCUUGGGCUCAACAACCCUACCUAGGGACAAUGGGUUUGAACUAUGGGCUAAGGGACUUGGGUUUUAGGUUUAGGGUUUUGGGCUUGGGUUAACUAAGGCCCAAGGUUUAGGCUGGCUACACCAGGCCUGUUUAAAAUAAGGUUUUGGUUGCUUGGUCCACAUUUUCAGGGCUGGGUUUUAAGGGCCAACGACCUAGGUAAAGGGACAAAAGCCUGUUUGUUAAGUGGGUUGCCGGACCACAAGAAGAAGAAGGCCAGAAUACGAUCAGGAACUUCCCUAGCUUUGACGAAGCUCGAAACAUGACAAAAAAUCACUAUUUUAGAACCAAAAUAAAGGUAAGAAGACGUAGGUUUGAAAACUACCAAAAGGAGGCCGUGAUACGGCCAGAGUUGGCCAUAAAUCCACACGAGAGUCGCCGGGAUCUGGAAAAUCAAUCUUCAAUAUCUCUCUGUAGUUUCAUCAACCAAAAUUUACAAGAAUGUGAUAAAAAAACCAUCACAAGAAUAAAAGAGAGGGUUUAGCAUGUCUUAAGGCUUACCUAGUCGAAAAACCCGAGAACUCACCGAAUAACUCACAACA
This 8888-nucleotide long non-coding RNA is filed under the name Malus domestica (apple). RNAcentral describes it as "long non-coding RNA (MDOM_LNC006976)". The record is from RNAcentral. Lineage: Eukaryota; Viridiplantae; Streptophyta; Magnoliopsida; Rosales; Rosaceae.